Molecule: ribosomal RNA, 681 nt
Filed under: Pedobacter borealis
Lineage: Bacteria; Pseudomonadati; Bacteroidota; Sphingobacteriia; Sphingobacteriales; Sphingobacteriaceae
Description: bacterial SSU rRNA
Rfam family: Bacterial small subunit ribosomal RNA
Source: RNAcentral
ACGAUAUUAAGGGGCUUGCUCCUUAAUAAAGUGGCGCACGGGUGCGUAACGCGUAUGCAACCUACCUUCAUCUGGGGGAUAGCCCGGACAAAUCCGGAUUAAUACCGCAUAAAAUCACAGCACUGCAUAGUGCAAUGAUCAAACAUUUAUGGGAAGAAGAUGGGCAUGCGUGUCAUUAGCUAGUUGGCGGGGUAACGGCCCACCAAGGCGACGAUGACUAGGGGAUCUGAGAGGAUGGCCCCCCACACUGGUACUGAGACACGGACCAGACUCCUACGGGAGGCAGCAGUAAGGAAUAUUGGUCAAUGGAGGCAACUCUGAACCAGCCAUGCCGCGUGCAGGAAGACUGCCCUAUGGGUUGUAAACUGCUUUUAUCCGGGAAUAAACCUAUCUACGUGUAGAAAGCUGAAUGUACCGGAAGAAUAAGGAUCGGCUAACUCCGUGCCAGCAGCCGCGGUAAUACGGAGGAUCCAAGCGUUAUCCGGAUUUAUUGGGUUUAAAGGGUGCGUAGGCGGCCUGUUAGUCAGGGGUGAAAGACGGUAGCUCAACUAUCGCAGUGCCCUUGAUACUGAUGGGCUUGAAUGGACUAGAGGUAGGCGGAAUGAGACAAGUAGCGGUGAAAUGCAUAAAUUUGUCUCAGAACACCGAUUGGCGAAGGCAGCUUACUAUGGUCUUAUUGAC